GCGGAUGUAUACUUUGUAUACGUGGUAGGGGAGCGUUCUGUAAGCCGAUGAAGGUGUGUUGAGAAGCAUGCUGGAGGUAUCAGAAGUGCGAAUGCUGACGUGAGUAACGACAAAACGGGUGAAAAACCCGUUCGCCGAAAGACCAAGGGUUCCAGUCCAACGUUAAUCGGGGCUGGGUGAGUCGACCCCUAAGGCGAGGCCGAAAGGCGUAGUCGAUGGGAAAAUGGUUAAUAUUCCAUUACUUCUGUGUAAUGCGAUGAGAGGACGGAGAAGGCUAAAUCAGCCUGGCGUUGGUUGUCCAGGUGAAAGGAUGUAGGCAUGUAUCUUAGGCAAAUCCGGGGUACUCUAUGCUGAGAUCUGAUAGCAAGCUGUACUUGUACAGCGAAGUGGUUGAUGCCAUGCUUCCAGGAAAAGUCUCUAAGCUUCAGUUACACAGGAAUCGUACCCGAAACCGACACAGGUGGUCAGGUCGAGUAGACCAAGGCGCUUGAGAGAACUCUGCUGAAGGAACUAGGCAAAAUGGUACCGUAACUUCGGGAGAAGGUACGCUGUUGUUGGUGAUGGAACUCGCUUCCUGAGCUGACGACAGCCGCAGAAACCAGGCCGCUGCAACUGUUUAUUAAAAACAUAGCACUCUGCAAACACGAAAGUGGACGUAUAGGGUGUGAUGCCUGCCCGGUGCUGGAAGGUUAAUUGAUGGGGUUAGCGUAAGCGAAGCUCUUGAUCGAAGCCCCAGUAAACGGCGGCCGUAACUAUAACGGUCCUAAGGUAGCGAAAUUCCUUGUCGGGUAAGUUCCGACCUGCACGAAUGGCAUAAUGAUGGCGGCGCUGUCUCCAGCAGAGGCUCAGUGAAAUCGAAAUCGCUGUGAAGAUGCAGUGUACCCGCGGCUAGACGGAAAGACCCCGUGAACCUUUACUGCAGCUUGACACUGAACUUUGACCUUACUUGUGUAGGAUAGGUGGGAGGCUUUGAAGCUGGAACGCUAGUUCCAGUGGAGCCGUCCUUGAAAUACCACCCUGGUAAUGUUGAGGUUCUAACUCUGUCCCGUGAUCCGGGACGAGGACCGUGUCUGGUGGGUAGUUUGACUGGGGCGGUCUCCUCCUAAAGAGUAACGGAGGAGUACGAAGGUGCGCUCAGCGUGGUCGGAAAUCACGCGUAGAGUAUAAAGGCAAAAGCGCGCUUAACUGCGAGACCCACAAGUCGAGCAGGUACGAAAGUAGGUCUUAGUGAUCCGGUGGUUCUGUAUGGAAGGGCCAUCGCUCAACGGAUAAAAGGUACUCUGGGGAUAACAGGCUGAUACCGCCCAAGAGUUCAUAUCGACGGCGGUGUUUGGCACCUCGAUGUCGGCUCAUCUCAUCCUGGGGCUGAAGCAGGUCCCAAGGGUAUGGCUGUUCGCCAUUUAAAGAGGUACGCGAGCUGGGUUUAGAACGUCGUGAGACAGUUCGGUCCCUAUCUACCGUGGGCGCUGGAAAUUUGAGAGGAUCUGCUCCUAGUACGAGAGGACCAGAGUGGACGAACCUCUGGUGUACCGGUUGUGACGCCAGUCGCAUCGCCGGGUAGCUAUGUUCGGAAGGGAUAACCGCUGAAAGCAUCUAAGCGGGAAGCCUACCUCAAGAUAAGAUUUCCCUAGGACUUUAUGUCCUCUAAAGAGCCGUUCGAGACUAGGACGUUGAUAGGUUGGAUGUGGAAGCAUAGUGAUAUGUGAAGCUGACCAAUACUAAUUGCUCGUGAGGCUUGACUAUACAACACCCAAGCAGUUG
Molecule: ribosomal RNA, 1761 nt
Filed under: Acinetobacter baumannii
Lineage: Bacteria; Pseudomonadati; Pseudomonadota; Gammaproteobacteria; Moraxellales; Moraxellaceae
Description: bacterial LSU rRNA
Rfam family: Bacterial large subunit ribosomal RNA
Source: RNAcentral